UCCGAUGUUACGCCUUUAAUCCCCGAAGGGGUAGGCAGAGGAGUAUAAUAUGGAACGUAAUGCCACUGUUUACACCCACUCUCCACAAUUUAUGUUGUAAGUCCCAUGAAAUAGGUGGUGAGCAUAUAGCCAUAUACCGGGCACAUUUCCAGACUCCGUGCUGCUACUGAGAAAUUUUCGAAAAAUCUAAAAUAACCCAGUAAUACUUCGCCCGACCCGGGAAUCGAACCCGAGACCCCUUGCCCGGCAGUCGCACUUGCAACCACUCGGCCAACGAGACAGUCGAUACAAUUAAUAUUCCCAAGAAUGCGACACUUUAAGUACAUAAUUGUAUGUUUAUUUAUUCGGCCUUAUAAUUUACAUUGUGCUAUGUGAAGUAUGAUUCAGUACUACAGUUACUGCGCGGUAGUGUAGACGUGUCCCGCACAAGAUGAAAUCGUGCACAAUGUUGUUCCUGCUCAUUGUCGUACUCUGUGCCUUCUUAUCCUGUGUCGAUGCGGGUCCAGCGAUGGCUUCGUGUUCGAAAAUUUUACUGGCCUACUGGAGAAAGGAAUUGAUAAAGCAAGGCACUAUCAAUGGAUCAAUCAGUGACGAAAAACUUGACCAAUUACUUCAACAGUUAGGAAAAUGUUGAUUAAAAACUCGUGUUGCCCUGCACGAGUCUUGCAAGUCUCGCAUUUACCAAUUAGCCAACUUAAUUUUUUUAUACGAUUAUGAUUAAACUUCGGUAACCACUA
Molecule: long non-coding RNA, 737 nt
Organism: Spodoptera frugiperda (fall armyworm)
Lineage: Eukaryota; Metazoa; Arthropoda; Insecta; Lepidoptera; Noctuidae
Exons: 2
Source: RefSeq, a predicted model, not a curated record